This 463-nucleotide ribosomal RNA is filed under the name uncultured bacterium. RNAcentral's name for it is "bacterial SSU rRNA". It matches the Rfam family "Bacterial small subunit ribosomal RNA", at positions 339 to 794 of the family's 1533-position model. The record is from RNAcentral.
CUACGGGAGGCAGCAGUGGGGAAUUUUGGACAAUGGGGGCAACCCUGAUCCAGCCAUUCCGCGUGAGUGAAGAAGGCCUUCGGGUUGUAAAGCUCUUUCGGCAGGAACGAAACGGUGAGGGUUAAUACCCCUUAUCAAUGACGGUACCUGAAGAAGAAGCACCGGCUAACUACGUGCCAGCAGCCGCGGUAAUACGUAGGGUGCGAGCGUUAAUCGGAAUUACUGGGCGUAAAGCGUGCGCAGGCGGUUUUGUAAGACAGAUGUGAAAUCCCCGGGCUCAACCUGGGAACUGCGUUUGUGACUGCAAGACUCGAGUGUGGCAGAGGGGGGUGGAAUUCCACGUGUAGCAGUGAAAUGCGUAGAGAUGUGGAGGAACACCGAUGGCGAAGGCAGCCCCCUGGGUCAACACUGACGCUCAUGCACGAAAGCGUGGGUAGCAAACAGGAUUAGAUACCCUGGUAGA